Molecule: ribosomal RNA, 77 nt
Filed under: uncultured Spirochaetales bacterium HF0500_06B09
Lineage: Bacteria; Pseudomonadati; Spirochaetota; Spirochaetia; Spirochaetales
Source: RNAcentral
CUGGUGACCAUAGCGGAGGGGUUCCACCCGUUCCCAUCCCGAACACGGAAGUUAAGCCCUCCAGCGCCGAUGGUACU